UGAACAGCCAACAGGGGUGAUGGCUCUGCAGAACUAAGCUUGCUGAGUGGAGGUAACGGGGUAUCAGGUGCUUGAGGAAUUCCACUUGAUUGCGUCGUUUCCGUUCCACUUGUUAGUGAAGUUGUCGGUUUCUGCUCAGCAUGGAGUUGAACAAGUGGUGUUCCUUCUUUGCUCAGAGAUAUUGUUCUAGCAGAAGGUUUCAUCCACCAAGCUUCCCAAGGUUCAAUCAUCUUGCUCAACUCUCCUGAUGCCAUAGCUCUUAAGAACCGUUUCUUCUCCUCCACGGACAAAUCAUCAAAACUUAGUUGGUCACCAGCAAGAACUUUUUCAACAGUUUCCUCGGAUAAAGUCG
RNAcentral lists this unclassified non-coding RNA (352 nucleotides) under Hevea brasiliensis (rubber tree). Lineage: Eukaryota; Viridiplantae; Streptophyta; Magnoliopsida; Malpighiales; Euphorbiaceae. The record is from RNAcentral.